GCGGAUAUGGCGGAAUUGGCAUACGCGCCGGAUUUAGGUUCCGGUGGGAAACCGUGCAGGUUCAAGUCCUGUUAUCCGCACCA
This 83-nucleotide transfer RNA is filed under the name Clostridia bacterium. RNAcentral's name for it is "tRNA-Leu". It matches the Rfam family "tRNA". From Rfam's summary of the family: Transfer RNA (tRNA) molecules are approximately 80 nucleotides in length. Their secondary structure includes four short double-helical elements and three loops (D, anti-codon, and T loops). Lineage: Bacteria; Bacillati; Bacillota; Clostridia. The record is from RNAcentral.